Tetranychus urticae (two-spotted spider mite) is the source of this 1286-nucleotide long non-coding RNA. RefSeq lists it as uncharacterized. NCBI's taxonomy places the organism in Eukaryota, Metazoa, Arthropoda, Arachnida, Trombidiformes, Tetranychidae. The record is from RefSeq and is a predicted model, not a curated record.
UUUAAUUGUUGAUCCCUGAUUGCAAUAAGGAUUCUCGCUUGAAAUUUGUAAAAAUAUAAAUUCUCAGAUGAUAAUAGAUUAACAUGAAAAAUAUGUUUUUCAUCAAUUUGCUUACCUAAUGAAACAUGGAAACAACUCAAGCAACAAUUGGUAAAUUGUCUGCUUGGAGUUAUAGUUUGGGUCUCCAGGUUUAUUCUAUCGUACGUGUGAGUGUUUCCCUUGGAGAUCGUCAUGUUAUAGCAUUUGGAGAUGCUUAUGAUCUCGCUUUAGCUUGUGAUUUCGGAUGUUAAAAUUUAGCUAAAGAGAUACGUUCUCUGGAACCAUCUUUUAUGUUGCCUCGUUUUGUUAUUGGGCUACUUAAUCAUCGAGGACAUUGCUACUUGAUAGCUGCUUUGGUUCCACUUCUACAUUCUUUUCCGUUCCUUGAAUUCCUUCUAAAGGAUCAUGAGAAGUUUCUUCUGCAAUAUUUGGCCGGUAGAUUAACUGGAAACAGUAAUUGCAGUGAUAGAACUGAUGAAUGAUGAUCAUGGAUCCAGAUCUUAUAAUGGAUCGUGGUGAUGCUGGUAUUGAAUUUAACCCUGAAUGUUUUCAGGAGGUUCCUACAAAAUGGGUUUUGAAUGGUCUUCUCUAUGACGAGUUGGUUGACGCUUUGUGUCUUUAUUGUAAUCCCAAUUAUGAUAACUUCAAAAACGGAGGUGAUGAGAAAAAUUCUUACUGUGACAUUAUCACGCUUCUAAUAGGAGUGUUUAAUGUGACCAUCAUAUCCGUUUCUUGGUUCAGCCUUAUUUGUCAAUGCUUCACGAAUUUUGGCCUUCGCAGUUGAUUUCAAAGAAAAUGCUGAACUCUCUUUACUAACUGAGUUAAUGCUAGAUGUGAGCGGAUUUGUCCAUUCAUAUGUACAUUUUUCUUCUACGGUAUGUUUUACCUGCUACAAAAGUUCUGCUGGUUUAGACUAUGGGGGUUUUUAUCAUCCAUUUCAAGAUGAUGACAAGGCAGGCGAAGAACACACUUAUGUUCAUAUGAGGAUGAAUGAUGACUUUUAUGAUGUAAACAAUGAUUAUAUUUACACCCUCGAUAAACGAUUACAUUUGAAAUCAAUGUGCGGUUCGCUCCAUUUUAUCAUUUGGAAGAGUAUUCUGGUCGCUAUUCCGAGGUUAAAGAGGGCGAUGUUUAUGUAAACCCAUUAUUGUAACUUUGUUUUCACUAUAAAUGUGAUUCUAAUUUUAAUUUUAAUAGGUCACUAAGUGACUCUUUGAAUUUUAAACGAAUAUUAAAACCCUAAUUUU